RNAcentral lists this long non-coding RNA (349 nucleotides) under Brassica napus (rape). RNAcentral describes it as "long non-coding RNA (BNAP_LNC008353)". Lineage: Eukaryota; Viridiplantae; Streptophyta; Magnoliopsida; Brassicales; Brassicaceae. The record is from RNAcentral.
UGUUAGUGAAAAUGCAAAAACAAAAAUUAACUUAUGGGGGAAAUGUAUUUUUUUGGUUUACGUAUGUAUAAAGAAUUUUAUUUAUUUUUUGAAUUUUAUGGGUUUAUCCUAAACGGAAAGUUGAUGGCAGGAGGUACAUGACGGAGUAAUAAUUAAUUUCAAAAGUAAAGCAAACAAUAAAUUAAAGAUUUUUAAAUAUUCAUGAUAGAAAAAAUGUAAAAUCAGCUUUGUCUUUAAAAAUCAAAGUAACCAAUGACAUUUUUUUUAUUUAUGAACAAUGUAAUCGACAAAUUUCUCAACUCUUAUGAAGUAGUAACAAUUCUUGCAUAGAUGAUUUAUGUUUUGGAGG